UGCGAACUCCUACGGGAGGCAGCAGGGGGGAAUAUUGCACAAUGGGCGCAAGCCUGAUGCAGCGACGCCGCGUGGGGGAUGACGGCCUUCGGGUUGUAAACUCCUUUCGCUAGGGACGAAGAGUAAUUGACGGUACCUGGAGAAGAAGCACCGGCUAACUACGUGCCAGCAGCCGCGGUAAUACGUAGGGUGCGAGCGUUGUCCGGAAUUACUGGGCGUAAAGAGCUCGUAGGUGGUUUGUCGCGUCGUUUGUGUAAGUCCGCAGCUUAACUGCGGGACUGCAGGCGAUACGGGCAUAACUUGAGGGCUGUAGGGGAGACUGGAAUUCCUGGUGUAGCGGUGGAAUGCGCAGAUAUCAGGAGGAACACCGAUGGCGAAGGCAGGUCUCUGGGCAGUAACUGACGCUGAGGAGCGAAAGCAUGGGGAGCGAACAGGAUUAGAUACCCUAGUAGUCCAGAUG
This 460-nucleotide ribosomal RNA is filed under the name uncultured bacterium. RNAcentral's name for it is "bacterial SSU rRNA". It matches the Rfam family "Bacterial small subunit ribosomal RNA", at positions 330 to 799 of the family's 1533-position model. The record is from RNAcentral.